RNAcentral lists this ribosomal RNA (2001 nucleotides) under Triticum aestivum (bread wheat). RNAcentral's name for it is "partial small subunit ribosomal RNA". Lineage: Eukaryota; Viridiplantae; Streptophyta; Magnoliopsida; Poales; Poaceae. The record is from RNAcentral.
AUGGAGAGGAAAGCAGGGCCAAACACCAUAAAGAUUAAUGCCUUUUCUAAGCCGGUUACUUCAAGUUCUCAACCUACUGAAAUUGUUAGUGAGGCGGAUGUGCAAGUUACAAAUCCGAGUCCAGUUAACACUUCUGAUCAGGAUAUGCCGGACAUGGUAAAUGUUGUAGAACAAGCAGAAGUUAUAACCACACCUUCUCAGAGAGACCUCGGCAAGCGUUGUCAAAUUUGGGAGCUCCCACCGGACAAGCAAGAUGAUGCUCAGAAUUUUUAUAUAUCUAAGGGAGCAUAUCGACCGGAGUUGGAAGAGUACCCAUUUGAUGAAAAUUCUAAACACCGUCGUCGAUUUCAAAAAGAUUGGUACACAAAUUUCUGGUGGCUUGAGUAUUCAACACACAAUGAUAACGCAUAUUGUUUGUCGUGCUUCUUCUCAAAAGAACCUGUUGGGAGAUGUGGGUCUGAUACAUUCUCGGUCAAGGGUUUUAGAAAUUGGAAGGUUAACGAUGGAAAAACAUGUGUUUUUUAAACUCAUGUUGGGGGCCCGCACUCUGCUCACAACUAUUCCGCUCGGUGCUAUGAAGAUCUCAAGACCAGUAUGGCUCAUAUCGACAAGAUGAUGGAAAAGAAAAAUGAGAAAGUAGCUACUAAUGCGAGAUUGAGGCUUAAGACUACCAUCGAUGCCAUGAGGUGGCUGAUAUUCCAAGCUUGUUCUUUUAGAGGUCAUGAUGAAUCUGCGAGGUCUAAAAACCAAGGAAAUUUUCUUGAAACGGUUAAGAUUCUUGCUUCAUACAAUAAGGAUGUCGCGGGAGUUGUUCUGGAAAAUGCUCCAGGUAAUGCAAAGUAUACAUCCGGAGAAGUUCAGAAAGAGAUUGUUGGCAUACUUGCUAUAGAAGUGCAAAAGGCAAUUAGAGAAGAAAUAGGUAAUGCCAAGUUCUGUAUAAUGGUUGAUGAACCUCGGGGUGAAAAAAAAGAACAAAUGGCAAUUGUUCUUCGGUUUGCCAACAAAGAAGCAGAAAUAAUUGCGUGUUUCCUUGAUCUAGUUCAUGUUAAUGACACUGCUGCCUUAACUUUGAAAAAUGCAAUCUGUAAUGUACUGUCAGAUAAUAACAUGAAUGUACAAGACAUCAGGGGCCAAGCAUAUGACGGUGCAAGUAAUAUGAGAGGGGAGUGGAAUGGAUUGAAGGCUCUUAUUCUCUGUGAGUGUCCAUAUGCCUACUAUAUUCAUUGUAUGGGUCAUCAAUUACAAUUGGCGCUUGUUGCUGCAUCACGAGAGGUACAUGAGGUACAUAACUUCUUUAAGAAUGCAAAUUUUGUAAUAAAUGUUGUUAGUGCUUCUAGAAAGCGCAACGAUGAGCUGCCAGCGAACCAAGCGGAGGAAAUUUCUCUCUUAAGAGGUAUAGCAAGUGACCGUUCAGUCUCAAAAUAUUCUCGUGGAGAUGUCAUUGGAUCCCUUAAAAUUGUCAUAUCAUUUGAUUUCGUGUUCAUUCUACAUCUGAUGGAAAAGAUUAUGAAGAUCAGUGAUGUGUUGUGUCAGAAACUCCAAUACAAAUCUUUAGAUAUUUUAAAUGCCAUGGAUUCUGUUUCUAACACAAAGGUCCUACUGGGUGAGCUAAGGGAACAUGGUUGGGACUCUCUUUUAAAUGAGGUCAAAUCUUUUUGUGUGAAGCACGAGAUUGAUAUCCCAGAUUUGGAACGCAACAACACAACAACGCUCCACCACUACAAAGUUGAUGUUUUCAGUGUUGCAAUUGAUCAACAACUGAGUGAACUGAAUGAUCAAUUCAGUACACAAGCAACUGAGCUCCUUACUCUCUGUUCAUCAUUGGAUCCAAGGCAUCCAAUGGUUGACAGGUUGUUGCGACUAGUUAUCACUCUCACAGUCUCAACGGCAACUGCAGAGCGGGCUUUUUUGGCUAUGAAAAUUGUCAAGGCACGUCUUUGAACUAAAAUGGGAGAUGAUUUGCUUUGCCAUUGCAUGAUAAUUUACAUAGAAAAAAAAUAG